Non-coding RNA from Plenodomus lindquistii, 84 nucleotides. NCBI's taxonomy places the organism in Eukaryota, Fungi, Ascomycota, Dothideomycetes, Pleosporales, Leptosphaeriaceae. The record is from the annotation of a GenBank genome assembly.
GGUUCGGUGGUGUAGUUGGUUAUCACGUUCGCCUCACAUACUGCUGUGCGCGAAAGGUCUCGAGUUCGAACCUCGAUUGAAUCA